CGCCAGACUCCUACGGGAGGCAGCAGUGGGGAAUAUUGCACAAUGGGGGAAACCCUGAUGCAGCGACGCCGCGUGAGUGAAGAAGUAUUUCGGUAUGUAAAGCUCUAUCAGCAGGGAAGAAAAUGACGGUACCUGACUAAGAAGCCCCGGCUAACUACGUGCCAGCAGCCGCGGUAAUACGUAGGGGGCAAGCGUUAUCCGGAUUUACUGGGUGUAAAGGGAGCGUAGACGGCAUGGCAAGUCAGAUGUGAAAGCCCGGGGCUCAACCCCAGGACUGCAUUUGAAACUGUCAGGCUGGAGUGCAGGAGAGGUAAGUGGAAUUCCUAGUGUAGCGGUGAAAUGCGUAGAUAUUAGGAGGAACACCAGUGGCGAAGGCGGCUUACUGGACUGUAACUGACGUUGAGGCUCGAAAGCGUGGGGAGCAAACAGGAUUAGAUACCCCAGUA
Molecule: ribosomal RNA, 446 nt
Filed under: uncultured bacterium
Lineage: Bacteria
Description: bacterial SSU rRNA
Rfam family: Bacterial small subunit ribosomal RNA
Source: RNAcentral